RNAcentral lists this transfer RNA (71 nucleotides) under Mycolicibacterium peregrinum. RNAcentral's name for it is "tRNA-Cys". It matches the Rfam family "tRNA". Rfam says of the family: Transfer RNA (tRNA) molecules are approximately 80 nucleotides in length. Their secondary structure includes four short double-helical elements and three loops (D, anti-codon, and T loops). The record is from RNAcentral. Lineage: Bacteria; Bacillati; Actinomycetota; Actinomycetes; Mycobacteriales; Mycobacteriaceae.
GCGGGUGUGUCUGAGCGGUUAGGAACCGGCCUGCAAAGCCGUUUACACGGGUUCGAAUCCCGUCACUCGCU